Molecule: small nucleolar RNA, 295 nt
Organism: Aspergillus carbonarius ITEM 5010
Lineage: Eukaryota; Fungi; Ascomycota; Eurotiomycetes; Eurotiales; Aspergillaceae
Rfam family: Fungal small nucleolar RNA U3
About the family: Small nucleolar RNAs (snoRNAs) are involved in the processing and modification of rRNA in the nucleolus. There are two main classes of snoRNAs: the box C/D class, and the box H/ACA class. U3 snoRNA is a member of the box C/D class.
Source: Rfam
CUUGCCUACAGUUCAAAGAAUCACUUUAGAGUAGACGUCCCACCUCUGAGCUCUUCUAAAGAGCCACAGAAUCUCCACCCUUGCUGAUGACUUCCAUGUCCUCGACGCCCUAAAGUGAAGCCGUUUUACUUCCGACUCGACCUUGAAUUUGCGCGCCCUGUCACGAUCCAUCCUCGGAUGGGCUUGUUUCGAGUGCCGGUACAAUGGUCCAGGGAGUGGUGAUGAUCUUUACCUUACCAUGAUGUCUUGACUUCGGUCGAUCGGGCUUGGUGGGUGUCGAGGAGGUCUGAAAGGU